CGCUAACACUCCUACGGGAGGCAGCAGUGAGGAAUCUUGCGCAAUGGAGGAAACUCUGACGCAGCCACGCCGCGUGCCGGAAGACGGGCCCUAUGGGUUGUAAACGGCUUUUAUUUGGGAAGAACCUGGGGAUUUGUCCCCACUGACGGUACCAAUUGAACAAGCACCGGCUAACUCCGUGCCAGCAGCCGCGGUAAUACGGAGGGUGCAAGCGUUGUCCGGAAUCAUUGGGUGUAAAGGGUGCGCAGGCUGGCGCCUAAGUCGGAGGUGAAAUCUUGCCGCUUAACGGUAAAAUUGCCCCCGAUACUGGGUGUCUUGAAUCUGACAGAGGUCGGUGGAAUUCGUGGUGUAGCGGUGAAAUGCAUAGAUAUCACGAAGAACAUCAGUGGCGAAGGCGGCCGGCUGGGUCAGUAUUGACGCUGAGGCACGAGAGCGUGGGGAGCGAACAGGAUUAGAUACCCUGGUAG
This 467-nucleotide ribosomal RNA is filed under the name uncultured bacterium. Its description in RNAcentral is "bacterial SSU rRNA". It matches the Rfam family "Bacterial small subunit ribosomal RNA", at positions 328 to 793 of the family's 1533-position model. The record is from RNAcentral.